GAGGAACGCUGGCGGCGUGCCUAAUACAUGCAAGUCGAGCGAACAGACGAGGAGCUUGCUCCUCUGACGUUAGCGGCGGACGGGUGAGUAACACGUGGAUAACCUACCUAUAAGACUGGGAUAACUUCGGGAAACCGGAGCUAAUACCGGAUAAUAGAUUUAACCCCAUGGUUCAAUAGUGAAAGAGGGUUUUUCUUUCACUUUUAGAUGGAUCCGCGCCUCAUUAGCUAGUUGGUAAGGUAACGGCUUACCAAGGCGACGAUGCGUAGCCGACCUGAGAGGGUGAUCCGCCACACUGGAACUGAGACACGGUCCAGACUCCUACGGGAGGCAGCAGUAGGGAAUCUUCCGCAAUGGGCGAAAGCCUGACGGAGCAACGCCGCGUGAGUGAUGAAGGUCUUCGGAUCGUAAAACUCUGUUAUUAGGGAAGAACAAAUGUGUAAGUAACUAUGCACGUCUUGACGGUACCUAAUCAGAAAGCCACGGCUAACUACGUG
This 497-nucleotide ribosomal RNA is filed under the name uncultured bacterium. RNAcentral's name for it is "partial 16S ribosomal RNA". It matches the Rfam family "Bacterial small subunit ribosomal RNA", at positions 28 to 507 of the family's 1533-position model. The record is from RNAcentral.